RNAcentral lists this ribosomal RNA (253 nucleotides) under uncultured bacterium. RNAcentral's name for it is "partial 16S ribosomal RNA". It matches the Rfam family "Bacterial small subunit ribosomal RNA", at positions 524 to 776 of the family's 1533-position model. The record is from RNAcentral.
UACGUAGGGUGCGAGCGUUGUCCGGAAUUACUGGGCGUAAGAGCUCGUAGGUGGUUUGUCGCGUUGUCCGUGAAAACUCACAACUCAAUUGUGGGCGUGCGGGCGAUACGGGCAGACUGGAGUACUGCAGGGGGAGACUGGAAUUCCUGGUGUAGCGGUGGAAUGCGCAGAUAUCAGGAGGAACACCGGUGGCGAAGGCGGGUCUCUGGGCAGUAACUGACGCUGAGGAGCGAAAGCGUGGGGAGCGAACAGG